Molecule: ribosomal RNA, 753 nt
Filed under: uncultured Acidobacteriota bacterium
Lineage: Bacteria; Pseudomonadati; Acidobacteriota
Description: bacterial SSU rRNA
Rfam family: Bacterial small subunit ribosomal RNA
Source: RNAcentral
AACGCUGGCGGCGUGCCUAACACAUGCAAGUCGAACGAGAAAGUCUCCGCAAGGGGAUGAGUAAAGUGGCGAACGGGUGAGUAACACGUAGCUAACCUACCCUCGAGUGGGGGAUAACCUGGGGAAACCCGGGCUAAUACCGCAUAACGCCCCGGGAGCACAAGCUUCUGGGAUCAAAGGCCCGCAAGGGCCGCUGGAGGAGGGGGCUGCGGCCGAUUAGCUAGUUGGUGAGGUAACGGCCCACCAAGGCUAUGAUCGGUAGCCGGCCUGAGAGGGCGCACGGUCACACUGGCACUGAAACACGGGCCAGACUCCUACGGGAGGCAGCAGUGGGGAAUUUUGCACAAUGCCCGAAAGGGUGAUGCAGCAACGCCGCGUGAGGGAUGAAGGCCUUCGGGUCGUAAACCUCUUUCGACUGGGAAAAACGCCCCGAUGAAGAAUCGGGGCUGAUGGUACCGGUGGAAGAAGCCCCGGCUAACUACGUGCCAGCAGCCGCGGUAAUACGUAGGGGGCGAGCGUUGUUCGGAAUUAUUGGGCGUAAAGGGCGUGUAGGCGGUGCGGUAAGUCGGGCGUAAAAUCUCCAGGCUUAACUUGGAGGGGCCGUCCGGAACUGCCGUGCUAGGGUGCGGGAGAGGGCAGUGGAAUUCCCGGUGUAGCGGUGAAAUGCGUAGAUAUCGGGAGGAACAUCUGUGGCGAAGGCGGCUGCCUGGACCGCAACCGACGCUGAGGCGCGAAAGCUAGGGGAGCAAACAG